This 120-nucleotide non-coding RNA is filed under the name human oral metagenome. RNAcentral describes it as "FMN riboswitch (RFN element)". It matches the Rfam family "FMN riboswitch aptamer (RFN element)". Rfam says of the family: The RFN element is a highly conserved domain that is found frequently in the 5'-untranslated regions of prokaryotic mRNAs that encode for flavin mononucleotide (FMN) biosynthesis and transport proteins. The record is from RNAcentral.
CUUCAGGGCAGGGUGAAAUUCCCGACCGGUGGUAUAGUCCACGAGCGCAAAUAUGAUUGUUUUGCAAGCACGAACUGGUGGGAUUCCAGUACCGAUAGUAGAGUCUAGAUGAAAGAAGUU